AACAUGGACCCUUGGUCACGAAUGUGGAGAAGGAAAAAGUCCUUCAUUGAGAUCGCGAGGUGGUGGCUGCAACUAUGAAUGGUAAUCGAGAUCGGGCUGGGAGUUGCCUCUUCGCAAACGUGACCAAACCAUCGUGAAUGUGAGUGGUCCGGGUCGUCAUCCUUUGGAAACACGAGGGUAUGACCAUAAAUACAAGACCAUUUAAUUGUCCUGGUCAUUGUUAACCCUCACAAACGCAAAGGGUUAAUCACAUCUGUAAGAUUUCAGUUCAAGUGUGACCCGAAAUGGUUGAGUUUAUGCCGUAGUAGCUGAAUUUUUAAGCAGGUACCACUGCCCAUUUCUUCACUGCAAUGCUUACUAGAUUCACCCUUACCAGAAGCACCCCUCGACAUUCUCAAGAAUUUGAGCACCCUUUUUGGAAUAUGAGCUGCUUCGUUUUCUUCAGAGCUGUAUGACAUCAGUUGUUUCUGGAAUCUGGGUGUUAAUCCAGUUCCUGCGUUCAAGGCUUUUAAUUUUGGGGCUCGAAUUAGUUGUUAGUUGAUCCGUAGCUUCAUCAAAUUUCUCCAAUCUUUGUUUUAUGUUGUUUAUUCUUUGAUACAAUCCAAAUCACCUUCUAAUCUUUGGGAAGGAUGCUUAUGAUUCAAGAGGCACUUGACGACCCUUUGGUGCUAUCAAAAGGUGUCAUUUAGAUGAUGAUGAUUGUCGAAGAGGGUCAAGGGACAUCAAAAAAGCCAAAGGAAGGGAAAGCGAGGCUAGAAAUCCCCCAAAAGAUGACAUGCAACCCACAUGUUUUGGAGGUGAACCCAACCUGCUAGAUCUUCUAGAGCAGGUCAAAACAGGCCUAUAUGUCUUUGAGAUGCGCCCAAGACGCUUAAGUGGAUACUAAGUGGGCUACUAUACUUUGAUCUUUCCAAAUGAAUCACUUUUGGGCGCAUAAGAUGUAAUAAUUUAACCUAGACUAUAAAUAGGAUCUAUCUUUCAUUUAGUAGGUAGUUUUUGAUGAAUUAUGAAUGUAUACUCUUUUGAGAGUGU
Molecule: long non-coding RNA, 1032 nt
Organism: Capsicum annuum
Lineage: Eukaryota; Viridiplantae; Streptophyta; Magnoliopsida; Solanales; Solanaceae
Exons: 4
Source: RefSeq, a predicted model, not a curated record